UACGAAGGGGGCUAGCGUUGUUCGGAUUUACUGGGCGUAAAGCGCACGUAGGCGGAUCUUUAAGUCAGGGGUGAAAUGCCGGAGCUCAACUUCGGAACUGCCUUUGAUACUGGAGAUCUUGAGUUCGAGAGAGGUGAGUGGAACUGCGAGUGUAGAGGUGAAAUUCGUAGAUAUUCGCAAGAACACCAGUGGCGAAGGCGGCUCACUGGCUCGAUACUGACGCUGAGGUGCGAAAGCGUGGGGAG
Molecule: ribosomal RNA, 245 nt
Filed under: uncultured bacterium
Lineage: Bacteria
Description: partial 16S ribosomal RNA
Rfam family: Bacterial small subunit ribosomal RNA
Source: RNAcentral